GACGUACCGUGCGAACGUUAUUCGGAAUCACUGGGCUUAAAGCGCGUGUAGGCGGGGUGGCACGUCGGUCGCUGAAAGCCCCCGGCUCAACCGGGGAAGCGGCGCCGAUACGACCACCCUGGAGGGACGUAGGGGGACCUGGAACUUCCGGUGGAGCGGUGAAAUGCGUUGAGAUCGGAAGGAACGCCCGUGGCGAAAGCGAGGUCCUGGACGUUUACUGACGCUGAGACGCGAAAGCCAGGGGAGCGAACGGG
Molecule: ribosomal RNA, 254 nt
Filed under: uncultured bacterium
Lineage: Bacteria
Description: partial 16S ribosomal RNA
Rfam family: Bacterial small subunit ribosomal RNA
Source: RNAcentral